GUGGGGAAUAUUGGACAAUGGGCGCAAGCCUGAUCCAGCCAUACCGCGUGGGUGAAGAAGGCCUUCGGGUUGUAAAGCCCUUUUGUUGGGAAAGAAAUCCUGUCGAUUAAUACUCGGUGGGGAUGACGGUACCCAAAGAAUAAGCACCGGCUAACUACGUGCCAGCAGCCGCGGUAAUACGUAGGGUGCAAGCGUUAAUCGGAAUUACUGGGCGUAAAGCGUGCGCAGGCGGUUUUGUAAGACAGGCGUGAAAUCCCCGGGCUCAACCUGGGAAUUGCGCUUGUGACUGCGAGGCUGGAGUGCGGCAGAGGAUGGCGGAAUUCCCGGUGUAGCGGUGAAAUGCGUAGAGAUCGGGAGGAACAUCCGUGGCGAAGGCGGCCAUCUGGACCAGCACUGACACUGAGGCACGAAAGCGUGGGGAGCAAACAGGAUUAGAUACCCGUGUAGUCC
This 450-nucleotide ribosomal RNA is filed under the name uncultured bacterium. RNAcentral describes it as "partial 16S ribosomal RNA". It matches the Rfam family "Bacterial small subunit ribosomal RNA", at positions 354 to 796 of the family's 1533-position model. The record is from RNAcentral.